This 1440-nucleotide ribosomal RNA is filed under the name uncultured bacterium. RNAcentral describes it as "bacterial SSU rRNA". It matches the Rfam family "Bacterial small subunit ribosomal RNA". The record is from RNAcentral.
AGCGGCAGGCCUAACACAUGCAAGUCGAACGGUAACAGGGAUAGCUUGCUAUCCGCUGACGAGUGGCGCACGGGUGCGUAACGCGUAUACAACUUACCCAUCACUGGGGUAUAGCCCGGGGAAACCUGGAUUAACCCCCCAUAGUCCAUAGAGGUCGCAUGAUUUUUAUGGUAAAGGUUACGGUGAUGGAUGGGUAUGCGUCCCAUUAGCUAGAUGGUAAGGUAACGGCUUACCAUGGCGACGAUGGGUAGGGGUCCUGAGAGGGAGAUCCCCCACACUGGUACUGAGACACGGACCAGACUCCUACGGGAGGCAGCAGUGAGGAAUAUUGGACAAUGGGCGAGAGCCUGAUCCAGCCAUGCCGCGUGCGGGAAGACGGCCCUAUGGGUUGUAAACCGCUUUUGUACGGGAAGAAACCCACCUACGUGUAGGUGGCUGACGGUACCGUAAGAAUAAGCACCGGCUAACUCCGUGCCAGCAGCCGCGGUAAUACGGAGGGUGCAAGCGUUAUCCGGAAUCAUUGGGUUUAAAGGGUCCGUAGGCGGGGAUUUAAGUCAGUGGUGAAAUGCAGGGGCUCAACUCCGGCACUGCCAUUGAUACUGGGUCUCUUGAAUCGCCGUGAAGUGGGCGGAAUAUGUAGUGUAGCGGUGAAAUGCUUAGAUAUUACAUGGAACACCGAUUGCGAAGGCAGCUCACUAACGGCGCAUUGACGCUGAGGGACGAAAGCGUGGGUAGCGAACAGGAUUAGAUACCCUGGUAGUCCACGCCGUAAACGAUGGUUACUAGCUGUCCGGCUCGAUUGAGAGCUGGGUGGCCAAGCGAAAGUGAUAAGUAACCCACCUGGGGAGUACGUUCGCAAGAAUGAAACUCAAAGGAAUUGACGGGGGCCCGCACAAGCGGUGGAGCAUGUGGUUUAAUUCGAUGAUACGCGAGGAACCUUACCAGGGCUUAAAUGCAGCGGGACGUGGGUGGAAACACCCAUUCCUUCGGGCUCGUUGCAAGGUGCUGCAUGGUUGUCGUCAGCUCGUGCCGUGAGGUGUCAGGUUAAGUCCUAUAACGAGCGCAACCCCUACCGCCAGUUGCCAGCAUGUAAAGAUGGGGACUCUGGUGGGACUGCCGGUGCAAACCGUGAGGAAGGUGGGGAUGACGUCAAAUCAUCACGGCCCUUACGUCCUGGGCCACACACGUGCUACAAUGGCAUGGACAGAGGGCAGCCACACCGCGAGGUGGAGCGAAUCCUCAAACCAUGUCACAGUUCGGAUCGCAGUCUGCAACUCGACUGCGUGAAGCUGGAAUCGCUAGUAAUCGCAUAUCAGCCAUGAUGCGGUGAAUACGUUCCCGGGCCUUGUACACACCGCCCGUCAAGCCAUGGAAGCUGGGGGUACCUGAAGUCGGUGACCGCAAGGAGCUGCCUAGGGUAAAACCGGUAACUGGGGCUAA